This 123-nucleotide small RNA is filed under the name Microtus ochrogaster (prairie vole). Its description in RNAcentral is "JPX transcript, XIST activator conserved region 1 (ENSMOCG00000004980.1)". The record is from RNAcentral. Lineage: Eukaryota; Metazoa; Chordata; Mammalia; Rodentia; Cricetidae.
CCAGUGUUGUAUAACGUGUAAAAUGGCCGGGUCGGGACAUAUGCUUACUUCCCGGGAUUAGCAAGGCAGCUAGAGGAUGACUCUAUAAGGAGAGUGGAGAAACUGGCCAGUUAAUGUGUCUGC